GAAAUCUCAUUCAAUGAGGAACACGGAUCGAGCAUUAUCUAGGCCUAAUUCCUAAUGAAUCAAGAGAAUCGAGCAAAAACAUUUUAUGCAUUCAAACAUUCAACUCAGCAUAACUCAUUCAAUUCUCAACCAUGCAUUAUCUAGGCCUAAUUCCUAAUGAAUCAAGAGAAUCGAGCAAAAACAUUUUAUGCAUUCAAACAUUCAACUCAGCAUAACUCAUUCAAUUCUCAACCAUUUUUCAUGAAUUUUAUAUCAGCGUGUUCAGCAUGCAAAGAUCUACC
Molecule: long non-coding RNA, 281 nt
Filed under: Lathyrus oleraceus (garden pea)
Lineage: Eukaryota; Viridiplantae; Streptophyta; Magnoliopsida; Fabales; Fabaceae
Description: Pisum sativum (pea) long non-coding RNA (PSAT_LNC009069)
Source: RNAcentral